Molecule: long non-coding RNA, 795 nt
Filed under: Anas platyrhynchos (mallard)
Lineage: Eukaryota; Metazoa; Chordata; Aves; Anseriformes; Anatidae
Description: lncRNA (ENSAPLG00020013268.1)
Source: RNAcentral
AGAACUUGGAUGUUUCUUGUGUAAUAAAUCAAAUAAUGUUGAACAAGUUGUGGAGUUGCUUCAUGUUAUGUUUUUUUUUUUUCCAGGCUUUGGAAUAAUCACUGUGAUGGGACAGGAAGCAGAAACAAAUGUAAAGCUGGAGGCAGGGACCUUGAAGGAGAUCAUGAAGACUUUGAGCAGACACGUUUCAGACAUGGGAGAGGAUGGCCGAAGAGAACUUGAACAACGAAAAACAGUGGAUUAGACACAGAUGCAGAAGAUUACUGUUCUACCUGUUCAGAUUCAGAUUUUGUGGAGAAGAGAAGGAAAAUGAAUUGGUAAGUUAUCCAAAAAAAAAAAAAAAAGAAAACUACUUGAAUCAGAUGGACAGCAUUAAACAGGAUAUUCAUUUUAGAAGAAUAACUGCUUCAGAAGCUCUCUGAAAUUUUGUCUACCUUGUCUACUCUAACCAGUUGCACUAUGAAGACAAAUUUCAAAGGCUGCCCCAAGUUCAAGGAGGAUUAACUCUAAGCUAGGCCUCUUAGGGACUCCUCUAAGGAGAUACUAGUAUGUGCAGUGUUUGGACUCCAAGGAGAACACUCUUUAGUUAAUUAAAUGGCAUAAUACACUUCUUUUUUUUUAAGGGGGAAGACUUGGAUCAAAUUUGGCUGUGAAGUGGUAUGCACAGCAUUUGAUACUACAGGCAUUCCAGGACAGUUAACUUGUGCCCUUACGUAUUUGUUCAAGGGGCAACAUAUGUGCAAGCUCAGUGACUGCUUUGUCUUUUGCCUUCACAGUGAUCAAUAUAGGCAAAUC